ACCAUGACUCCACUGGUGCUGCUCUCUGUCUUCAUAGCCUUCAUUCAGGAUUCAAGAUGUCAAAUUUCUGUAACUCAACCAUCAGCACCAAAGUCAGUUUCUCCUGGAGGGAGCGUCACCUUUAGCUGUACCACUGGGAGUAGCGUGGGUAGAGCCAUGGCCUGGUACCAGCAGAGACCUGGAGAAACUCCUAAACUCCUGAUCCGCAGUGCAAGUACUCGCUACGGUGACACCCCGAGUCGCUUCACUGGCAGCGGGUCAGGAACUUCAUUCAGUUUGACUAUCAAUGGAGUUCAGCCUGAAGAUGCCGGCCGCUACUACUGUCAGCAGUAUAGCAACUUACCACACUGUGAUUGAGACUCGUACAAAAAC
Non-coding RNA from Erpetoichthys calabaricus (reedfish), 372 nucleotides. The record is from the annotation of a RefSeq genome assembly. Lineage: Eukaryota; Metazoa; Chordata; Cladistia; Polypteriformes; Polypteridae.